This 650-nucleotide ribosomal RNA is filed under the name uncultured bacterium. RNAcentral describes it as "bacterial SSU rRNA". It matches the Rfam family "Bacterial small subunit ribosomal RNA", at positions 69 to 708 of the family's 1533-position model. The record is from RNAcentral.
GUGGGGUCGGAGUGCUUGCCUUUGCUGACGAGCGGCGGACGGGUGCGUAACACGUAGGAAUCUGCCUGGUAGUGGGGGAUAGCCCGGAGAAAUCCGGAUUAAUACCGCAUACGCCCUAAGGGGGAAAGGAGGGGACUCUUCGGAGCCUUUCGCUAUCAGAUGAGCCUGCGUCGGAUUAGCUGGUUGGUGGGGUAAAGGCCUACCAAGGCGACGAUCCGUAGCUGGUCUGAGAGGAUGAUCAGCCACACUGGGACUGAGACACGGCCCAGACUCCUACGGGAGGCAGCAGUGGGGAAUAUUGCACAAUGGGCGAAAGCCUGAUGCAGCCAUGCCGCGUGUGUGAAGAAGGCCCUAGGGUUGUAAAGCACUUUCAGCGAGGAGGAAAGGUUAAAGGUUAAUACCCUUUGGCUGUGACGUUACUCGCAGAAGAAGCACCGGCUAACUCCGUGCCAGCAGCCGCGGUAAUACGGAGGGUGCGAGCGUUAAUCGGAAUUACUGGGCGUAAAGCGUGCGUAGGCGGCCUUUUAAGUUGGAUGUGAAAGCCCCGGGCUCAACCCGGGAACUGCAUCCAAAACUGGAAGGCUCGAGUGCGGGAGAGGAGUGUGGAAUUUCCUGUGUAGCGGUGAAAUGCGUAGAUAUAGGAAGGAACA